UCUCCGUUGGUGAACCAGCGGAGGGAUCAUUACCGAGUUUACAACUCCCAUACCCAAUGUGAACCAUACCAAACUGUUGCCUCGGCGGGGUCACGCCCCGGGUGCGUCGCAGCCCCGGAACCAGGCGCCCGCCGGAGGGACCAACCAAACUCUUUCUGUAGUCCCCUCGCGGACGUUAUUUUUCCAGCUCUGAGCAAAAAUUCAAAAUGAAUCAAAACUUUCAACAACGGAUCUCUUGGUUCUG
RNAcentral lists this unclassified non-coding RNA (244 nucleotides) under plant metagenome. RNAcentral's name for it is "partial contains small subunit ribosomal RNA, internal transcribed spacer 1, and 5.8S ribosomal RNA". The record is from RNAcentral.